CUCUUUUGUAACGGCGCAAACCCAGGAACCCUCUCAACUCCCUAUUGAAAUUUCUCUCAUGACCUAAGAAUGAAUAACCUUUUCAUCUCCCUCUUAAUGAAAGAAUUCUAGGGUUAAAAACGCUCAUUUAGGCUUGGCUUCUCCAUCUCAUCCUAUUCGAUUACACCACGAGUUUGGUACGGUUUGUUCCCUGCGUAACCCGUAAAAGAAGAUAAAAUUGUUAAGGUUUCUCUGAAGAUCAGGGGCAGUCAGUGAAAUUUGUGGAUUUGACAACAAUGAACUUUGAUGAAAAGAAAAUGCAAACACAGAUUACUGGCUCCUCAAAGAAGAAAAGAAUAACACGAUCUAACCAUUAUCUCCAGGGAAAUUCCCGAUAGAGUACUAAAAUGUGAGCGGAAAGCUUCAUAAAGUACUUAAGGUUAAAAAUGGGAAACUCUUAUUUCCAGUCAUGGUCAGCUGUACGUGGCAUUUUGUAAAUGUGUGGCGGAAGGAAGAUGAACACCAAUAUUCAGUCAUGGCCACAUAAAAUGAUCACAAUUCCCAUAGUUCACUAAUUUCAUAAGCGCUAACACGGUUAUCAUGGUAGAAGAGGCAGAUGCAUUUGAUGCGGUCAUCCUUAAAAACUCCAAUUUGGCAGUUUGAUAAGAAGACAAUUUGUACUAGAUGAAUUGCACCUGACUACAGCAAAAGUCCAAGGCAUCCAUGUAACCUUCAAACUGUGUAUUGAGAUAUUUUGUCCCAUCCGCAGUCCUCCAACACAUUAUGCAAAGAGGGUUCUUGAAAAACCUACCUAUUCCUCCAGCGUUGCCACCCAAGUUUACGCUAACAUCGACAUCCUUACUGUCAAAGCACUGUGAGAUACCCUAAGUUUGAUCCAUGUAUGGGUUUUAGAUAGCACUGUUGUUGAGACCUUGCUCAUGAAGCAAUGAGGAUAUUUAUUUGAAUUAGCAUGUAUGGUAAAUGUAUUAUUUGUAUUUAUGGAUCUCUAUCCAACUAUUCGUGUUUUUCUGUUGAAUUAGCUAAGCCAAGCGUUCUGUCGGUGCGGUGCUUCUUCUACGUAACUUAUUAUUCACUAAGAUCCGUGCAUAUAUCUUAGGAUGAUACUGUUUGCAUGUUUAACCCACAUAAUUAUAUUGUACUGACUUGAUUCA
This is a long non-coding RNA of Papaver somniferum (opium poppy), 1151 nucleotides long. RefSeq lists it as uncharacterized. The transcript is spliced from 6 exons. The record is from RefSeq and is a predicted model, not a curated record. NCBI's taxonomy places the organism in Eukaryota, Viridiplantae, Streptophyta, Magnoliopsida, Ranunculales, Papaveraceae.